CAGUCGCCGCGGGAAUACGUAGGGCGCAAGCGUUGUCCGGAAUUAUUGGGCGUAAAGAGCUCGUAGGCGGUCUGUCGCGUCUGGUGUGAAAUCCCGAGGCUCAACCUCGGGCUUGCAUCGGGUACGGGCAGACUAGAGUGCGGUAGGGGAGACUGGAAUUCCUGGUGUAGCGGUGGAAUGCGCAGAUAUCAGGAGGAACACCGAUGGCGAAGGCAGGUCUCUGGGCCGCAACUGACGCUGAGGAGCGAAAGCAUGGGGAGCGAACAGGAUUAGAUACCCCUGUAGUCCCUGUCUCUUAUAA
RNAcentral lists this ribosomal RNA (301 nucleotides) under uncultured bacterium. Its description in RNAcentral is "partial 16S ribosomal RNA". It matches the Rfam family "Bacterial small subunit ribosomal RNA", at positions 509 to 809 of the family's 1533-position model. The record is from RNAcentral.